CCACCCGAAAGGGUGGCUAAUACCGCAUAAGACCUGAGGGUGAAAGCCGGGGACCGCAAGGCCUGGCGCGAACGGAGCGGCCGAUGACUGAUUAGCUGGUUGGCGGGGUAAAGGCCCACCAAGGCGACGAUCAGUAGCUGGUCUGAGAGGACGACCAGCCACACUGGAACUGAGACACGGUCCAGACUCCUACGGGAGGCAGCAGUGGGGAAUUUUGGACAAUGGGGGCAACCCUGAUCCAGCCAUGCCGCGUGCGGGAAGAAGGCCUUCGGGUUGUAAACCGCUUUUGUCAGGGACGAAAAGGUGCGGGUUAAGAGCUAGCACUGAUGACGGUACCUGAAGAAUAAGCACCGGCUAACUACGUGCCAGCAGCCGCGGUAAUACGUAGGGUGCGAGCGUUAAUCG
This 405-nucleotide ribosomal RNA is filed under the name uncultured bacterium. RNAcentral describes it as "bacterial SSU rRNA". It matches the Rfam family "Bacterial small subunit ribosomal RNA", at positions 147 to 547 of the family's 1533-position model. The record is from RNAcentral.